UAAAGAAGCACAACAAAAUGCGAUUACAUCAGCUCCAUUUCAAUUAUAUCAUUGCGCGAGCGACUAAAGUGGAUAGGCGGGCGGAUGUAAGUAGCCGUGUGAAUAGAAAUAAAUUGUAGAAAAAAGUGGAAUUGUGUGCUGUUGACCCUGAGAGAAAUAUUUUGCCAUAUUGCAAACGGUGAAAGAAUUUCCAGUUUGAAUUUGUGUUCAAACUAAAAGUGAAAACUAGUUUAUCUAAUCAAUUGUUGCGGCAUUAAAAAUCAUAAUUUAAAUAUGUCUGGGUAUUUAGUGCGACUUAAAUUGUGGACUUUAGUGCGAUAAUGUUUUUUUUAGUAUUUAUUAUAGUGAUUGCUACGUUAUACGAAUAAAAAGUGCUAUCAUUAAGAUACAUUGAGGCAAAAAUAUAUAGUAUACUUAUCAGAACUAAAAAUUUAUAGAUGGAAAUCGCACGACGAUCGGUUCUAAGUAAACCGAAUAGAACCGAGCUUUUUACCAAAAAAAGAAUUAUCAACGCAAUAUCACUCUACAAACAAUUUCGGAUAAUAUAAAAGUAACAAUGUGAGAAUUGUAUACAGUGAAUAUUGUUUUAAAAUUAAAAUCAUAAUCAUUAAAUUAAAAAAAAAAUAAAAUUUUUUCUACGUCAAUGUAUAGUGAGUUCUUCGAAAAUUUAAUAAAAAAAAUCAAAGAGAUAUUUAAAAUGUAUCUGUUCUGAAUGAAUUUGCACUCAAUGCAUGCAGUUUAAGGUGUGUUUAUCCAUAUCAAGCAUAGGUAUUUUUAUUGUUUAAUAACCAGUUAAUAUUUUUCCAUGAAAAAUACUGACGUUCAAGUAUUUAAAUAACUCAAAACAAUGCAAUGAUGCUGUGCACAUCCGUAUAUAUUUAAUAUAGUAGUUUAGUUUUCGCCGUCCUGUUAUUAUAUUAUUUACUUAACGUUUAUAUUUGGAACAGAAUAUUAGUUACAAACUGAACACUUGAAUAUUGAACUUGAAUUAAGAAAGCUUUGCACGGCGUGUAAAAGCUGUAAAGCAAACUGAAGUAUAAACAUUUCAAAGUGUUAAUAUGUGAAAGCCAAUCAGCUGCCGUGCACAUAUUUAUGGAAAUUUAAAUAAGAAUCUACAUUCAUAUGUAUAAUUCCACUUAAAACGAAAAUACAUCUGUGUCUCUGUAUGCAUUUUAACACAUUCACAAAGCAAACGUUUGAGAUAAAGGAAUGAAACCAAAAUAAAACAAUUAAAAUGUACUGGCUUGUACAUGCAUUGAAUUAAUUUAGUGUUGAUAUACCAAACUUAAGAUAUAUACAUACAUACAUUUCCGGUAUGACGAUUUUGCGUAAAUUACUUGUUUAAUUUUAAAUUAAUUCUGUGAUUUUUACAUCAGUUAAACAAAGCUAAAUAAUAUUAUUAUAUAGUAAAUGUAUAUAACUUCUAAUAAGAAAUACAGCGAUAAAAUUUGCAUUUUUUUGCAUGUUCUGAAAUUUCAAUAGUUAUCUCAAACAAUAAGAAGUUGGAAACAACAGAAAAUUAAAUUAACCUAAAAAUAUCACAUGAGGUUAUACUGUUAUGUGCUUUAAGUAGGGUAUUAUAUAGAAUGAAACUGCUACUAAAUCGAUAUUGCAAACGUGCAUGCAAACUAUCAAAGAUAUGUACGUGUUCGUCUGUGCUGUGCCAGUUACCAGGGGCUAAUGUUACUGCGCCGGCGCAAUUGUGUUUUAGCGGUUAUUGUACUUUUAAUGGUAGUUUCAAAUCAAAAUAGUGGAACAAUACUUGCGCAUUACACCAUUCUCAACGCAAUCAAAUACAGGUAUUCACUAUUAAAGCAAACCAGUUUAAAAGUGCGAAUAAAAUUUUUUUUGAUUCUUUACAAAGUAAAUAAUAUUUCUUACUUGAGUAAUUUGCAUUGUUACGUUACGUUUUAGUAGUGUAAUAUGUAAGGUCAUAACUUUUUCAUAUUUUUGUACAAAAAAAACUAUAUAUAGAUAAUGGCAGUAUGGACUUUUCCCACAAAUAAAUUCUUCAAACUAAUAAACUACAAAUUAGCAGCCUAAGUAAGUCUGGAAUCAUAAAUUGAUUUCUGCGCCUACAGAUAAGAGAUAAUAAAUGGGACUAUAACCCACACAAAAAUAUAAAUCAUAUGAAUGUACAAACUUAUUUUGUUGAUAUGGAUUAUAUAACAAAAAAAAAAAAAAAAACGAAAUACAUAACAACGAAAGCAUCAUCAAAGAUCAAACGUCCUAAAUUUAUAUUAAAUAGUUGUUUUUCAUUUCCUUUAAAAAAAUUAUGAAUUUAGAAUGCAAUUUAAUAAAAAUAUUGAUAUAUUUGCUCAUUCAUGGACAAUGCAUACAGAAAAAAUGUCAACAGCAAAUACAGCUGCAUAGUAAUCGCUGUGGCAAGAAAUUUGAUACGAUGCAACGGAUGCAGAGAAUACUCUAAACAGUGACAGGUGUACAGCGUUUAAAAUACCAAAAACAAUUAUGGCAGAUGAUUUAGAGUUUUAGUUGCUUUCUUUAGAUUUCUCUAAAGACUUAACACCAACUUUAUACAUAUGUAUAUAUAUGUAUUUAUCUUUCCUUUUAAUAGUUUAAUUCAAUUCUAAUUUUUUUAUUAUUAAAUGAUUUAAAAUUAAACGUAAUAAUUAAAUAACUAGAUCGAUUUGCAAAUCUGGAAACCAUUUUUCAUAUCCUUAAAGUAUUAGUUCUUAACCGUAUCAUUUUUUUUGUUUUUCACAAUUUACUAUAUUUAAUUCAUAUUAAAGAAGUAAAUUUAUUAUUCCAUCCAUUCCAUGAUAUCAAAACAUCUGUAUUAUUGGCUAGGAGAACACAUAUUGUUUUCUUUAUCAAAUAAAAGUUAUAAUUUACACAAAAUGUAUUUUGCAAGCUAAUUUAUAAGAAUAUUAAGCUGACUAAUAAAUCAAAACCGCGACAUUUACGAAUGCAAGUAUAUUUAUUUGCUUGUAUGUGAAUUUAAUGAUAAUUUUGAUUCAAUGUUUAAUUUGAUAAAUAAGAUUCAUCUCUUGUUAUUAAUAAAUACACAGUAAACAUGCAACUUGUUUGUUGCUGUGCAUUAGUCAUACAAUAUAUUUUAAUUCAUAAUAAUUUUCUUAGUUUUUUAGAUGUUGUUCGAUAUAAUAUAUGUAAAAUUACCUUAAUGUACAGAGAUGUACAUGAGUUGUAUCCAUGCGGACGUAAACAACGCACACAACGUUGGACAGCUAAGACAACAGCUGCUUUCUGCUGUAGUAAAUUGUUUUUGCUAAAAACGGAAGGCUACUAUGCUGCUGGAAGAAUAGGGAGAACUUAAUUUUGCAAUCGUGUACAGCGAAGACCAACUUUGUUGUAGCUACGACGACAGUCAAUAAAAUGCAUUUGAUGACGCCUCUGUUGGCGAGCCCACGCUGGAAACCUUGUUUUAUUAGCUGCCUAAACUCGAAACCUGCAAGUUUGCAGUAGUGUAAUGGGCCAAGAGCAACUGGUUUAGUAGUUUUUUUGUUUAAUCGUGUCUUUAUUAUAUUUGUUGGCCAGUCGAUAUUGAUAACCCGUGUUUAAAAAUAGAACACAUGCGAAAAAUUUGUAAAUAUAUAUUUUAUGCGUUCGCUACAUUCUCAUUUUCGCAGUUUCACUAUUCACUGACUUUGUGUUGUCAUAUUUCAUAAUUUCGUCAAAGAUUUGCGGCUUUAUUAGCGCUUAGUUAUUAAGAAAUAUUUUGUUGCUUUUUAAUUGAAUGCAAAAAGUGCAAAGGCGAUAUUUUAUAAUUGCUCAAAAUCACAUAUAUAAUAUAUAUAGUGUAUUUAUUUAUUAGCUGUGGGAUUCGUCUUUACUUAAUGAAUUAUCACAAAAUGUCCUUAAAUUAGCAAAUAUUAAAAGCAAUGCAUUUACGACCACCGCACCGUCGAAAAGAAAAAAACGAAAUUCUCCAAUUGAAUAGCACGAAUUAAAUAAAGACAAACGAAGGAA
Molecule: long non-coding RNA, 3948 nt
Organism: Zeugodacus cucurbitae (melon fly)
Lineage: Eukaryota; Metazoa; Arthropoda; Insecta; Diptera; Tephritidae
Exons: 2
Source: RefSeq, a predicted model, not a curated record